AUGAAUUUUGUCAUCUUGUCUCUGGAACAGCAAAAACAUCACGCAUCACUGAGUCCCAUUCCUUCCCGAGUGCAAGCCCGAUCCUGUUGGCUGGCCACGUCCGCCAAAAAAUGGGCAAACGCCACCCGCGACGACCCGCCGUCGUUCCAAGCUGCCAUGGCGUCUUCCUUAUUCGCCGCGACCCGCGCCCUGAGCUCUCUGCCCUCCUCGGAAUCCAUGACAAGCCUUACCUUGGCCUCCACCUCGCCGGCCUUGACCAGCCCGUGCUGCCACCCGACCAUCUCUACGGCGAUCCCCAUGUCCCCCACCAUGAACAGCUUGUUCAUCUUCUGCUCCGCGUACAGCGGCCAGCACAGCAUCGGCACUCCCGCCGUGACGCCCUCCAGCACCGAGUUCCAUCCGCAGUGCGUCACGAACGCCCCGGUGGCCUUGUGGCGGAGAACGUCCGCCUGCGGUGCCCACAGCUUGACGACGAGGCCACGGCCAUUGGUGCGCUCCAUGAACCCGUCCGGUAGGAGCGCGUCGAUGUCCGGGUCGGCACAGGGGUCGAGCGGCUUCUCCGGGUCGUCGCUGACUGGGGCUCGCACAACCCACAGGAAGCGGUGGCCGGACUUGUCUAGCCCGACGGCGAUCUCCCUGAGCUGCUCCUCGGAGUGGUUUCCUAUGCCGAUGCUCCCGAAGCAGAGGAACACGACGCUCCGGUCAGGUUGGCCGUCUAGCCAAGGGAGGCACUCGUGCCGCUCUUUUGCCUCGGCGACGGCGAUGCUGCCGACAAAUGGCCCGACGCAGUACACCGGAGGCAAUACCCGGCCGAGGACACACCGAGGGUCCCUGAGAGCAGCCACCCCCCGAGCCUCCAAUGACUCGAGCGUGUUCACCAGCGUGCCGUCGGCCUCCAGGAUCCGGGGCAGCGAGGCCAUCAUCGCCUUAUACUUGUCGCUCUCCGGGUCCUCAAGCAGUUCGGCCAUUAGGUGUGAAGCCGGCAUGGGUGGAAGGCCGAAGAGCUGGAGAGGGGUGUCUCCUAGCUCCUUGAAGCUCGUCCCGCCCUCUGCGAGAAGUGUCGGAAGCUGGGCGAAGGCGGCGAGGACGGAGGCGCUGGAGGUGAACAAGUUGUAG
This 1116-nucleotide ribosomal RNA is filed under the name Triticum aestivum (bread wheat). RNAcentral describes it as "partial small subunit ribosomal RNA". The record is from RNAcentral. Lineage: Eukaryota; Viridiplantae; Streptophyta; Magnoliopsida; Poales; Poaceae.